This is a long non-coding RNA of Cyprinus carpio carpio, 1635 nucleotides long. The record is from Ensembl. Lineage: Eukaryota; Metazoa; Chordata; Actinopteri; Cypriniformes; Cyprinidae.
GAACCAAAGACUUAAACUACUUCAGUCUGUGUGCACUGAAUUUAUUUAAUACGCAAGUUUCACAAUUUGAGUUGAAUUACUGAAAUAAAUGAAUUUUUCCACGACAUUCUAAUUUAUUGAGAUGCAUUUUUUUUUAUUUUAAAUAAGCUGUUAAAGUUAAAAACCUAAAAGUAUCAGCUAUAUAAUAUUGCCAAAUAUUAUUGCAAAGUAUCUUCAAUUAUAAUCUUUACUCUCUUACACAAUGCAUCAUUAAAACAAUUCCCUUUCCCUGUUGUGAAGACCAGGUUAGACCACACUGGUUCAGGAUCAUUUAUGUUGGUUUUGUGCUGCUUUGGCCCUUUUCCCAGCAUAGCCAUCCUGUUUUUCACUAUUUAAAUUUAGCUGAUCAAGCUAAUUGACAGGCAUGGUCAUAAAACUAGCUUAACUAUCAAAUCUUGCUUUGUCAAACCAAGUAACCUAAUGGUAUUCAUGACUUUCAACUCUGUUAACGGUUCUGAAACUUUUUUCUUCAACAAUCAAGUCUUUUGGGCGUGAUUCAUCCACCACUUCGUGUGAUAUACUUCUUUGUGAAGAAGUAUGUAUUGUCAGUAUAUACACUUUAACUUUGUUCCAUAGACAAUACAAGUAAUUAUGAAUUUAUAUGAAGACAUACUUAAGACAUAUUUAAGUAGAACAAAAACGCACUUUAAAGUUCAGCUGCCAGUAACUGAGAUAACAAUUUGCAGCAUACAAUAAAUAUACAAUUAUUUUAAAUAACUGUAUAUUUUUUUCUGAUUUGUGAGUAAUGUUCUGCUGAAAUUUCAAAUGAUCUUUUAAUUCAACAAUUGACUUCUGAGUGUACUUAAUGCAAUGCAAGAAUUGUUUUCAUGACAUUUUUUCAUUCUUUAUUCCUUUAAGAAUUACUAAAAGAAUUGUUUAAAGUAGAAUAAAGGAACCAGAAUCAUGACGUGAAUAGAACCACAAUGAAACACAGCUCCUAGUAAAUGACUUAAAGAAUCCUGGAGGAAAGCACGAGGGAGGGAACAAAAGCAGAUCCAGUGUGAUCUCACGAGUGCUGACUAAUUAAUGGUUAUCUCACCAGUAACAAUGAGCCAUGUGGGCCUGAAUUCACAUGAGCAGGUGGACAAAACCCAACCCUUUAAACUUCCCAUUGUGCUAAUGGGAAUUAUAAAUUAAAUUAAUAAUAUAUUAUAUUAAUAUAUUAAAAGAUGUUGGACAGAAUAUUUCUGCUGCUCUUUUCCAGACAAUGAAAUUGAAUGGUGCUCACUAUAUACCAUGUGACUGAAUUCUAGUUUGCACCAUGUAGUAUCCCCCUCAUUUCUCUUUCACUCACCAUUCUGUCCAGAUGUCCCCCUUCGUCUCCUCCUCCGUCUUCUCCUCCUCUAGUCCAGAAGAACCUGCCCGCCUUAGGGUCAGAGGUGAACCAAAAACAAUGGAUGAUGCAGGCUGAGAAUUGUUGCUGUGGUGAUGUCACUGGUUGCCUAGCAACAGCGGUCUCUGGGCAACCCUCAAUCACAGCCUCAGCGGGAACAUUUUGGAUUAUUUGGGGAUGCCGAGCAGGGGUGUAGGCCAUCAUUUCAGAAGUGAGGAGGACAGAAUAUAUAUAUAUAUAUAUAUAUAUAUAUAUAUAUAUAU